UACGUAGGGUGCAAGCGUUAAUCGGAAUUACUGGGCGUAAAGCGUGCGCAGGCGGUGAUGUAAGACAGGUGUGAAAUCCCCGGGCUUAACCUGGGAACUGCAUUUGUGACUGCAUCGCUGGAGUGCGGCAGAGGGGGAUGGAAUUCCGCGUGUAGCAGUGAAAUGCGUAGAUAUGCGGAGGAACACCGAUGCGAAGGCAAUCCCCUGGGCCUGCACUGACGCUCAUGCACGAAAGCGUGGGGAGCAAACAGG
RNAcentral lists this ribosomal RNA (252 nucleotides) under uncultured bacterium. Its description in RNAcentral is "partial 16S ribosomal RNA". It matches the Rfam family "Bacterial small subunit ribosomal RNA", at positions 524 to 776 of the family's 1533-position model. The record is from RNAcentral.